CUUUCAUGUUGCUAUUCUGUACCCUAUAGUAGCCUCCAUGAGAAUCUGGUAUUUCUUGCUGCUUGGAACUACUUUGCAGUGAUUACUUGGUUGCAGUCCAAGUAUUCUCGUUUAGUCUGAGCCUGGAGAUGUUCUAGACUUGCUUCUCCCACCUCUGAGAUUAGGACAGGAAAAAUGUGAAAUUUCCCAAUUACAGGAUUAUACGGUACCAUCACAUCAUUUGUGGAAAUUGGGGUGACUGUAUAGCUGGGAUUGGGCUAAGGACUGUGGUCUUAUCUGUCCACAUACAGCCAAAAUGCCUAUCCAGAAAUCCAGUUCGUUGGAAAGGAAAAUUGGUACUCCUGUGCCACAGGGGUUCCAGAAAAGGGAAGUCACUUUACCUUGCGGUGGUGGGAUCCUGAUGUCUUUCAUCCAUUUGUAGUAAAAGCUGGUAAAGCUUUUCUUACUCCUGGUUCCCUACCAGUAUUUCUAAACAUGUCGCACUUUCUCCACAGGCAUGUGGUUUUGACCUUUUUUUCAAUCUUCUAGAAAGGGAACGGAAGCAGAAGUGGGACAUCGAGGGCUCUGCUGUCCUCUGCGCUGGGUGUGGAAUGCUGCUGCACCUGUCCCUUCUGCUGGCUCAGGGAAGUGUCUUCUUGCCCACAUUUCUGUGGGGAAAGGUUUUUAAUCCUCUGAUGCUUCCAUCUUCCUGUUUAGGCCAUGUGCCCAGAAACCUGGACUGAUCUUUCUUUAAUAGUGAACCCCUGGGCCACUGAAGAGUAACAUGGCUCCACUGGACACAAAAGAGGGAUGGAAUCAACAGGCAGGGGGCCUUUUAUAAGCCUUAGGAAAAGAAAAUGAAACUAUUUCAUCUUUGGACUUUUCAAUACUAUUGGAGUGAUUUUUUUCUUUCUAAACAGGGAAAAUAAUGUUACAAAAGCAUCUUUUUUGUUAUUUGUUUGCAUCCCUCCCCCACACCCUGGUGUUUUAAAAUGAAGAAAAAAAACCACUUUUUGUACAAAAACUCUUAAUGAUUAAAAAACAAACAAACAAAACAUAUUGGCCUUGUCAUUUGUGUGAAAGUGGGCAAAGACUGGAAUAGAGUAAGACAACUGAAACCAAUUUUCAUCCUUUUACUGAGGAAAAAAAUAUUUAAUAUUUUUGUUAUAUAAGGAAUAGUGCCUAAGGCAGGUACUUAUACUCCUGACCUCAGCCCCACACACUCUGGUUUUAUAAAGCUAUAGGACAGAGCAGAGAUGGAACUGAAAAACAGGGUAGAAAAUAACAUAAAUUGGAGGGGAACAGUGGGAUGCAGAAAGAAUGACAACAGCCACAUGUGCCCCAGUCAAAUACUUUUAGUCCCUGCAGCAGAAGAUGCCAACCAAGUCUCUAUACUGGCUGGGGAUCCUGCCAUGGAUGCAGGAGAAAAAAUUCAAUCACAAGGGAGUAAGUGACAACAAAAAGAAAAAACUCUGAGCCACAGCUACACUGGGAGGGGGAAGGACCAGAUUUUGCUACUUCUGUCACACAAGCUAGAAAAACCCUACCUCUCCCAUUGGGCAGGCAACCUGACAUUCCACCCAGUUCCUUGCCUUACCAUACUAUGUAUUCCUCCUCUUGGAGAAUUAAGACCUGGGCUAAAUGCUCCACUCCGGGAUAAGGCUGAGCAGUCCUAGUUCUCUAGACUGCCUCUUUUAUAAAGAUUGGAUUAAGGUACGUGAAAUGGUGAGAACUGUAAAGAUUUUAAAAAAUAAAGUAGAACC
RNAcentral lists this long non-coding RNA (1742 nucleotides) under Homo sapiens (human). RNAcentral's name for it is "HSALNT0368485". Lineage: Eukaryota; Metazoa; Chordata; Mammalia; Primates; Hominidae. The record is from RNAcentral.